Molecule: transfer RNA, 77 nt
Filed under: Pseudomonadota bacterium
Lineage: Bacteria; Pseudomonadati; Pseudomonadota
Also listed under: 1 other name
Description: tRNA-Arg
Rfam family: tRNA
About the family: Transfer RNA (tRNA) molecules are approximately 80 nucleotides in length. Their secondary structure includes four short double-helical elements and three loops (D, anti-codon, and T loops).
Source: RNAcentral
GCGCCCGUAGCUCAGAUGGAUAGAGUGUUGGUUUCCGAAGCCAAAGGUCACAGGUUCGACUCCUGUCGGGCGCGCCA